RNAcentral lists this ribosomal RNA (583 nucleotides) under uncultured bacterium. RNAcentral's name for it is "bacterial SSU rRNA". It matches the Rfam family "Bacterial small subunit ribosomal RNA", at positions 338 to 911 of the family's 1533-position model. The record is from RNAcentral.
CCUACGGGAGGCAGCAGUAGGGAAUCUUCCGCAAUGGACGAAAGUCUGACGGAGCAACGCCGCGUGAGUGAUGAAGGCUUUCGGGUCGUAAAACUCUGUUGUUAGGGAAGAACAAGUGCUAGUUGAAUAAGCUGGCACCUUGACGGUACCUAACCAGAAAGCCACGGCUAACUACGUGCCAGCAGCCGCGGUAAUACGUAGGUGGCAAGCGUUAUCCGGAAUUAUUGGGCGUAAAGCGCGCGCAGGUGGUUUCUUAAGUCUGAUGUGAAAGCCCACGGCUCAACCGUGGAGGGUCAUUGGAAACUGGGAGACUUGAGUGCAGAAGAGGAAAGUGGAAUUCCAUGUGUAGCGGUGAAAUGCGUAGAGAUAUGGAGGAACACCAGUGGCGAAGGCGACUUUCUGGUCUGUAACUGGCACUGAGGCGCGAAAGCGUGGGGAGCAAACAGGAUUAGAUACCCUGGUAGUCCACGCCGUAAACGACGAGUGCUAAGUGUUAGAGGGUUUCCGCCCUUUAGUGCUGAAGUUAACGCAUUAAGCACUCCGCCUGGGGAGUACGGCCGCAAGGCUGAAACUCAAAGGAAUU